UCUUGGGCUUCACGCAUGCUACAAUGGCCGGUACAAAGGGUUGCGAUACUGUGAGGUGGAGCUAAUCCCAAAAAGCCGGUCUCAGUUCGGAUUGGGGUCUGCNACUCGACCCCAUGAAGUCGGAGUCGCUAGUAAUCGCAGAUCAGCAACGCUGCGGUGAAUNCGUUCCCGGGCCUUGUACACACCCCCCNUCCAGUCACGAAAGUUGGUAACACCCGAACCGGUGGCCUAACCCCUUGUGGAGGGAGCUGUCGAAGGUGGG
RNAcentral lists this ribosomal RNA (262 nucleotides) under coryneform actinomycete B724. RNAcentral's name for it is "partial 16S ribosomal RNA". It matches the Rfam family "Bacterial small subunit ribosomal RNA", at positions 1207 to 1466 of the family's 1533-position model. Lineage: Bacteria; Bacillati; Actinomycetota; Actinomycetes. The record is from RNAcentral.